UAAGACUGGGAUAACUUCGGGAAACCGGAGCUAAUACCGGACAACAUUUGGAACCGCAUGGUUCUAAAGUAAAAGAUGGUUUUGCUAUCACUUAUAGAUGGACCCGCGCCGUAUUAGCUAGUUGGUAAGGUAACGGCUUACCAAGGCAACGAUACGUAGCCGACCUGAGAGGGUGAUCGGCCACACUGGAACUGAGACACGGUCCAGACUCCUACGGGAGGCAGCAGUAGGGAAUCUUCCGCAAUGGACGAAAGUCUGACGGAGCAACGCCGCGUGAGUGAUGAAGGUUUUCGGAUCGUAAAACUCUGUUAUUAGGGAAGAACAAAUGUGUAAGUAACUGUGCACAUCUUGACGGUACCUAAUCAGAAAGCCACGGCUAACUACGUGCCAGCAGCCGCGGUAAUACGUAGGUGGCAAGCGUUAUCCGGAAUUAUUGGGCGUAAAGCGCGCGUAGGCGGUUUCUUAAGUCUGAUGUGAAAGCCCACGGCUCAACCGUGGAGGGUCAUUGGAAACUGGGAAACUUGAGUACAGAAGAGGAAAGUGGAAUUCCAUGUGUAGCGGUGAAAUGCGCAGAGAUAUGGAGGAACACCAGUGGCGAAGGCGACUUUCUGGUCUGUAACUGACGCUGAUGUGCGAAAGCGUGGGGAUCAAACAGGAUUAGAUACCCUGGUAGUCCACGCCGUAAACGAUGAGUGCUAAGUGUUAGGGGGUUUCCGCCCCUUAGUGCUGCAGCUAACGCAUUAAGCACUCCGCCUGGGGAGUACGACCGCAAGGUUGAAACUCAGAG
Molecule: ribosomal RNA, 787 nt
Filed under: uncultured Staphylococcus sp.
Lineage: Bacteria; Bacillati; Bacillota; Bacilli; Caryophanales; Staphylococcaceae
Description: bacterial SSU rRNA
Rfam family: Bacterial small subunit ribosomal RNA
Source: RNAcentral